AGUGGCGGACGGGUGAGUAACGCGUGAGAAUCUGCCUUGGGGUCGGGGACAACCACUGGAAACGGUGGCUAAUACCGGAUAAGCCGAUUGGUGAAAGAUUUAUUGCCCGAAGAGGAGCUCGCGUCUGAUUAGCUAGUUGGUGAGGUAAGAGCUCACCAAGGCAGCGAUCAGUAGCUGGUCUGAGAGGACGAUCAGCCACACUGGGACUGAGACACGGCCCAGACUCCUACGGGAGGCAGCAGUGGGGAAUUUUCCGCAAUGGGCGAAAGCCUGACGGAGCAAGACCGCGUGAGGGAGGAAGGCUCUUGGGUUGUAAACCUCUUUUCUCAGGGAAGAAGCUCUGACGGUACCUGAGGAAUCAGCCUCGGCUAACUCCGUGCCAGCAGCCGCGGUAAUACGGAGGAGGCAAGCGUUAUCCGGAAUUAUUGGGCGUAAAGCGUCCGCAGGUGGCGAUUCAAGUCUGCUGUCAAAGCACGGGGCUUAACUCCGUAAAGGCAGUGGAAACUGAAUAGCUAGAGUGCCGUAGGGGUAGAGGGAAUUCCCGGUGUAGCGGUGAAAUGCGUAGAGAUCGGGAAGAACAUCGGUGGCGAAAGCGCUCUACUGGACAGCAACUGACACUCAGGGACGAAAGCUAGGGGAGCGAAUGGGAUUAGAUACCCC
This 660-nucleotide ribosomal RNA is filed under the name uncultured bacterium. RNAcentral describes it as "bacterial SSU rRNA". It matches the Rfam family "Bacterial small subunit ribosomal RNA", at positions 94 to 788 of the family's 1533-position model. The record is from RNAcentral.